Pyrus x bretschneideri (Chinese white pear) is the source of this 2546-nucleotide long non-coding RNA. RefSeq lists it as uncharacterized. The transcript has 2 exons. NCBI's taxonomy places the organism in Eukaryota, Viridiplantae, Streptophyta, Magnoliopsida, Rosales, Rosaceae. The record is from RefSeq and is a predicted model, not a curated record.
CUCGAUGAACGAACCACUACCACAAGCAAAGAUAAAGUAUCGCCAACGAGUUCACGUCAUUUGUAAAUUUUUCUCCUUUCAAAAGAAACAUAACCUUUCUUUUGGACAAGAACAUAACUUUAUUAAAUCAGAAGCUUCUGUCAACAAAAGUGGACAGAGUGACGUAACACAAUUACAUACUGAGAAUACCAAGUGACUCCAAAAUUAAUAGGAAAAAAGAAAAAAAAACAGCUUUAAAGCAUCUCAAAGAAAUGACAAAUUUUAAACAUAAAAUUUGAAUUUGACAGCCUAUAUUGUAUUUUGACAUCUUUCAAAAUUUUACUCUCUACCCGGUAUAUCAAAUUAAAUACUAUUUUAUUACACUAUUUUCUUUCUUUUUAUUUUAUUAAACUAUUAUUUUAUUCCCCUCUGUCUAGACUUGUCCUAUCAUCUUCGUCACCAUCGAGUCCUUUCUCUCAUCCACCUUCUUCACCUCCUCUCCCUUCUAGUCAUUCACCAUCUUCGUCCUCGAAGUCUUUGAGACGCCUUUCGUCGAACACCUUCAGUGCAGCAACUCGGCCCACCCACCCAUCAUCAAAACCCUCAAUCUGAACCUCCUGAUCGACGACCCAUAACGCAAUUUGUUCAGAUCCAACGGCGGGGACACUGUCGUUGCUAGGUUUGUGCUGUUUUUCCCAAAUUACUCCACCUUUUUGGGGAAGCCAGGGUUUUACAUCAACACCCUGCAUAUUGCUACUCAAAACUACUAUCCAUCCACCACUUGCAACUAAAUACCCAAAUGGCAAAAACCCAGUAACUACCAAAUAUCUCACUUUUUUUACCUUUCCGUUGAAUUUACGAGUAAUGAAUUUUCCCAACCUACCCCACUCCUCUGAAUUUACUCCUCCCCCACUUUCCCAUCAAUUCAAUGCUUCACAUGGCCGCGGCAUGUGGAACCCAUUUGGGAUUCACAUGAUCAUCGACUUCUCGCUUUCUCUGAUGAGAUCGUUCCAGAUUUGUGUGAAUGAUCGGAUGAUAACAUCGUGAUGGGAUGCAGAGUUGAGCUCCAGAAAGUAGCUGAGCAGCUCCUGCAGAUGGUCCUUCGAGUAAAUUGCUAUAAAGGAAGGGGCUGGGGAAGAUGUUGCUCUUAGCGGUGGCGAAGCAGGCGGUGAAGAUGGGGUAUGGCAGAGUGGACAAGUUGCGCUUCUCAGUGACAGCAAAAGAGAGAGUUGCUAUUCCAUGUCAUGCCACAUCAGAUUUGGCUUCUCGAUUGGAAAACAGUACAAUUGUCUUUUUAUUUUUAUUUUUAUUAUUACUAUUAUUGUUGAGUUAGACAUUGAAGAUGCUCUAAACAAAAACAUCACACUAUAAUUACCCUGAUUGUAAUCAUCAACAAAGAGCUACUCCUCAUUCCAAAUAAUUGGCAAGAAAUUAAGGACAUUUUUUUCAACUUUCCACUCCACAUCUUCACUUUUCUCAAAUAUCACCCUAUUUCCUUCCUUCUGAAUAAGUGUUGCGGAACCAAAGUGAAGGCUUUCCUAAAUCAAUGGGUGCUUUAGUCUUUUAAUCUCUCGGGUUUUAGUAUUUAAAUAUUUAGAUUUUGUUUUUUGGUGAAGAAAUAUUUAGAUUUUUAGUCGUUUGAUUUCCUAUUUAUACGAGGAUUAAGAUUAUUUCCAGUUUGAUUAGGAUUAGAUUUAGUUUCCUAUCCUAUUUUGGAUUCGGAUUUCUUUCCUAAAAUAAGUUUACUUUCCCGUGCUCAUUAGGUUGAAGAAGAUGUUGACCCUAUACCCUUUGUCUACCAACACACGGUUGACUAAGGCAUUAGAGAUUUGUUUAUGACCAAUGCAUCGUCGUGAGGGGAGUAGACACCUUCCACAUCCCAAUAUGAGAACAUUAGGAUGUUAGAAUUGAUGGGAAAGGUUUGUUAAUGGUCGCCAUCAUCUUGAGCUUAUUGCAUGCGGCUUUUCUUUAUUUCCUAGUUUUUCCCAUGUGUUCCUUCUCCUGUAGAUCCAGUUAACGUUGAGUAUAGGACUUUCCACCGAACCUUGGUUUUCAGAAGAUUUUGGUGUCUUUGUGGACUUCUUGCGUGAUGCUUUUGGAGUGGGGUGGCGACACUUUGCACCAAAGCCCAGAACAUUGGUUCUUGCUUGGGUCUGAACAUGAUAUCUUCCACAACUUGCACCCGUCUCUCAAGGUCAGUGAUCCUUCCUCAUUGUUUGGUUAUUGAUGUCAUGCGAAGCAUGUCGACUGAAGCAUAUACUUGCGACAAACUUUGCCAAAUUUUGUCCAUGGCGAGAAUGUCCCCGUCUUCAAAGAAGGUGUCACGUCCAGUGGUGGUGCAGGUGUAGCAUGUCUGUCAAAGCCUCAAGCAGUGGACAAGAGAAUAGAUAUGUAGUAUAAGACUCAAGUAGUAGGUAAGAGAAUAUGUAUGCUAUUGUGUUACAUGAGAUGAAUCCUAAAAGGUUGUAUUUAUACCAAUCGAAGACAGGAUGUUUUAGGAUAGUAGAAUCCUUACUAAAUUGAGAGAAUACUAGAGGAUAUAUAUGAAUAGAUACUGAGUCUAAUUA